This is a non-coding RNA of Danio rerio (zebrafish), 115 nucleotides long. The record is from Rfam. NCBI's taxonomy places the organism in Eukaryota, Metazoa, Chordata, Actinopteri, Cypriniformes, Danionidae.
ACCGGCAGCUAGCUCUCUGCAACUCUCACAUGGUCGCUCACUGAAGCUGAGCAGGGCUGCGCCUGGUCAGUACCUGGAUGGGAGACCACAUGGGAGAGCUAGGUAGCUGCUGGAA